RNAcentral lists this ribosomal RNA (498 nucleotides) under uncultured bacterium. Its description in RNAcentral is "partial 16S ribosomal RNA". It matches the Rfam family "Bacterial small subunit ribosomal RNA", at positions 30 to 523 of the family's 1533-position model. The record is from RNAcentral.
AUUGAACGCUGGCGGCAUGCCUUACACAUGCAAGUCGAACGGUAACAGGUCUUCGGAUGCUGACGAGUGGCGAACGGGUGAGUAAUACAUCGGAACGUGCCUAGUAGUGGGGGAUAACUACUCGAAAGAGUGGCUAAUACCGCAUGAGAUCUACGGAUGAAAGCAGGGGAUCGCAAGACCUUGUGCUACUAGAGCGGCCGAUGGCAGAUUAGGUAGUUGGUGGGAUAAAAGCUUACCAAGCCGACGAUCUGUAGCUGGUCUGAGAGGACGAUCAGCCAGACUGGGACUGGGACACGGCCCAGACUCCUACGGGAGGCAGCAGUGGGGAAUUUUGGACAAUGGGCGAAAGCCUGAUCCAGCAAUGCCGCGUGCAGGAUGAAGGCCUUCUGGUUGUAAACUGCUUUUGUACGGAACGAAAAGCCCCGGGUUAAUACCCUGGGGUCAUGACGGUACCGUAAGAAUAAGCACCGGCUAACUACGUGCCAGCCGCCGCCGUAA